Molecule: long non-coding RNA, 8445 nt
Organism: Peromyscus californicus insignis
Lineage: Eukaryota; Metazoa; Chordata; Mammalia; Rodentia; Cricetidae
Exons: 2
Source: RefSeq, a predicted model, not a curated record
AAGGCUGUCUCGACACGUGCGACAUGGAGUCACCCUGGUCAGUGGGAUAGUUUUACAGAUAACGUUUUGAAGUUUUGGAUGCCUGUGUGCUGCUGCUCUGCGGCCAAGAGACCUGGGGGUGUGGAUGCCCCCAGUCGGGGGGGUGCGGACGGACACCUAUCCGGAAGAAGACAUCCCUGGGGGGUGGGGGGGCUGGUGGCUGCAGGACGUCUGCGGCCGGAUAAGGGUCUGUCCCCAGCACAGCUGGACGAGCUGCUCGGGAGUGCCAGAUGACCUGUCAUCCGGGAGAAGGGGUGCAGAGCGACGGUCAAGCCCAGAGCAGCGGGGGUGGGCAGUUCACGCCCCCCAGCGUGGUCAGGGUGUGUGGGUGGUGUCAUGCAAAGAGUGACAGUGAAUGGCAGCCACGUGAGAGAGUCCCAGCUGGGCAGUUCGGCCACCCCAGACCGACGGGGUCACGGGGGCGGGUGUGUGUGUGUGUGGGGGGGGAAGGCCCUGCACUUGACACAAAAGAGCCCGGGGCAGAGAGGACGAGGGUGGGGCCGGGGGCAUGGGCUCCCCAGACACUCUCCCGUCCCCCCCUCCUCGGCAGUGACCCCAGAUCUCGCCGGCCAGCUGCGGGGGGGGGGGGGGGGAGCGGAGGGCAGGUCCCGGCCAGCCUUACUCCAGGAAGUGGUCUGCGUGGAGCGGGGGUCCCCCACCGGCCCCGAGUCCUCAGCCGCGCUGCCCACACGCACACGCCCCCCUCCCCCGCGUGCCGCCACCGCGCGCCCCGGAGUUGGCGGGCACCGAAGUCCCCCUGGCAGUGUCCAUCUCUUCCUCCAUGAUCUUCCGAUAAAGUAGAAGAAACUGAGGCACUGGGGCAAAGUAGCGGACCGAGAAGCAGAGAGGUAGGAGUGCGCCCAGGCCUUCUCACCAAACUGGCUGACCCGGGAUUUCCAACCGGAUCCCAGUGUUUAUCUUCAGGUUGGACCAGGGGUCAGAAGGCCAGUGGACAAGGAGUCCAGAAGUAAGUUUGGCUUAUAGAGAUUUGACAGAGCCGAGAAUGGAACUUGCCAAGAAGCAGGGCAGGUAGCCCGGGGGCUUCUCUCUCUUCUCUCUGCCCCGUCUGUGCUGCCUCCUAGCCCUGGCCUCUGGAGAAGCAUCUCCUGAGUCAUUUCUCUACUGCCCCUCAGCUUUGCACUGUGCACAAGGACCCCAAGAAGAAGGUAGGCAACAACCCAAAAAGUAUCGGUGACAGAGAAAUCGUCCACAAAUGUUUGUUUGCAAUGCUAAAGUGUUAAUCAAUGGUCUACUCCCUGCCCCCCCUCACACACACACACACACACACACACACACACACACACACACACACACGCACACUAGCACUUUAUUGAACAUUGGUUUCUGUCUUUUUUCUUUCUUUCUUUUUUUUUUUAAGUGGAAUUCUCUUGCUAUGGGCCCAUAUUGUCCCGGCCCAUCCUCUCUCAAUCUCGGUACUAGUCUGAGUGGGUAUCCCUUCUUUCUGUGUGUGGGCUCCUCUCUAAGUGUGCUCUAUUCAUCACUGAGACUCUCUUGUACCUUUGACUCGAAGGGCGUCAUCCUUUCUAAGAGACUCUCCAUCUCUGGCUCCUGUUUACCUCUCUCUUCCAGCCUGAGAAUGCACGUGGGUCCUCCUGUAUGCCUGACCAGUACUGAGAAGGAUGUCCACACAGCAUGUGGCAGCAGUCUCCCGGGCUAGGCCCCUCUGCCUGCCUGACAUAUGUGUCCUGUGCAGCAGGUGUGAGUGUCUGAAGGGGCCGAUGGGCCUCCCCGUGCAGGCCUGCGGCCUCUGCUCUCCACCACUGGGCUUGCUCCUCGGCCCAGCUCCUUUCCUGGGUUCCCACCCCCUCUCCUCUGCCUGUCAGCACUUGCUCCUGCUCUUUUUGCUUCCUAGUGACCUCUGGAUCUGUCUUCUCACCUUGCCUCCGCCUGCCUCUCUACCUGCUCACUUCUGUUAUGGUGUUGCCUGCCUGCCUGUCUGUUCCUCCCUCACUGGCUGGCAGCUUCUUUCUCUCCCUGGUUGUCUGUCUGCUUCUCUGGCUGUUUGCCCACCACUCUCUCUCUAGCCAUCUGUCUGCCCGCCUGCCUGUCUCUGUCACUUUUAAAGCCUGAAUCUCUUGGUUUGUCUACCUUCCAGGACUGGCCACAGUUGCCCACAAUGGUCUGCCUCUCGCCUCGACCUUCUUGUUUCGGCUCCCGUGUCUCUGCUAAGUCCAUCACUUUUCUCCCCCUCUUUGGAGCUGUGUCCUCUCGCCUGUCUGUCAUGCUGUCCGCUGCUCUCCCACUGUUUAAUGUUUGUUUCAUUUCUUUCUACUUAUCAGCUUUUUCUCCCUUGGCUUCCAAGGGUGGUGUCAACAACCUACCAAGGGUCAGUUUCUCUCCCCAGGCCUUUCGGUCCUCUCUGGCCUUAAAGUCUCAUCAGCAUUCACAGCGGAUUCCUUCUCGCCUUCUUUCCCACCUUCUUUCCCGUCUCCUUUUUAAUUAUCUCUUCCUACCUUGCUUGCCUUCCCAGGCAGUCUGCCUCCUCAGUCUUUUUGUUGGUUUCCCAGUCUCUGUGUUCCUGGCUUUUUGCUGUUUGCUUGGCAGGUUCUGGCUGUCCACAUCUCGGCUUGCUUUUCUUUCUUCUUGUUUGUUUUAGGUAUUUAUCUCCAGUCAGCUUUCAGAUAGACACAAACAUGGUCUGAAAUUCUAAAAGUAAGAAACCUAUACUAUAAAAAGUCGGUCUCGGGGCUAGAGAGACAGCUUAGUAAUUAAGAGCAUUGGCUGCUCCUCCAGAGGACCCGGGUUUGGUUCCCAGUACUGUCACAGUGGCUGACAAACAUCUGUAACUCCACUUUCAGGGAAUACAACGCCCUCUUCUGGUGUCUAUGGGUACUGCACACAUGAUAUACAUACAGGGAGAUAAGAUACCCAUAUACAUAAAAAAUAAAAAUUAGGGGCUGGAGAGAGACGGCUCAGCUGUCAAAAGCUCUUGUUGUUCUUGCAGAGGACUUGGGUUUGGUUCCCAGCACCCACAUGGUAGCUCACAACCACCCUUCUGUAACUCCAGUUCCAGAGAAUUCGAUACCCACUUCUGACCACCAAGAGUACUGGGCACACAUGUGAUACACAUACACACAUGUAAUACACAUAUACACAUGCAGCAAAAUCACUCAUAUACAUCAAAUAAAUAGAUGCUUUUUAAAAAUAAAACUUUUAAUGAAGAAAAAAAAGUAAGUCUCCAUCUGUCCUUCUCUUCCAGGCCCAGAAUUCCUCUUCCAAGAGUCGGUCACUAUUACCCUUUUCAGAUGCCACUCCAGGGAAGGCCACACAUAUGAACCCGCGUCACUCUCCUGCACACAGAUACUCCCAUCCCUCUUUGCUGUGUUUCUCCUCGCCUCUCUCCCAGGUUCGCUGGGUCCUCUUGUCACUCGUCAGCUCGUCAGUACUGCCUGACUUUGCUGGGCUCACCACCUCUUCCCUCCUGUCUUUCUGAUUCUACUUUUUUGUUAAAGGCUUAUUUAUUUAUUAUUUUGUAUACAGUGUUCUGCCUGCCUGUAUGUCUGCAUGCCAGAAGAGGGUACCAGAUCCCAAUAUAAACGAUUGUGAGCCACCAUGUGGGUGCUGGGAAUUGAACUCAGGACCCCUGGAAGAGCAGCCAAUACUCUUACCUGCUGAGCCGUCUCUCCAGCCCCCUGAUUCUACUUUGUAGGUGUGACAGGGACAGGUGUCAUCUUUUUAAUUGACUGGUGGCUCUUUGCUUGCUUUUACUACCAAAGCAGUGCUUAGGAAGGGCUUACUCUCGGCUGAUCUGUUCUGUUCCGCCUGAUGAGUUAUCUGGAUGGCAGCACACCCUUGUCUCUUCACUACAGUGUGUGUUUUGAAGACAUGCCCACACACACUGGAAGUGCUGAACUGCCGCGCCAAUGCAGGUGGACUUCGUAAGUGCAGUCAGGGGGUGAACUGUGCUCAUGUGCACAUAAAGUAGGUAGAUGCCUGCUUGCUGUUCUUGUCUAGGCUUACAUGUCCAAUCUUUUCUUUUUUAGGGAGACAAAAUCUAACUAUGUAGCCCAGGCUGGCUUUGACUUGAAGAUCUUCCUGAGCCUCCCAAGCACACAUCUGUAGGCAUGCCCCACUAUGCCUAGGCCUAUGUGGAUUCUUCUAGAGGCCUGUGACUCUGGAUUCUUUGGGGUUGUUGACUUAGGUCUGUCCCAGACGUUUGCCUUCUUCCUUAUCUACAAAAUGUGUUCUUUAUCAAAACUUCUCCCCCAACCCUACCUCAGACCCUUUCUUCUAGCUCCUGUCCAUGCUCUUAGAGUCAAAGACUCAGCGGGUAACCAGGUCUCUUUGAGAAGAUGAUAAGAUUUCUCCAUACAGUGUACACAGUUGUUUCGUUUUGCUUCUUAAAUGGCCUGUGUUCCUGAAUUUAAAACUCUUUCGGCCUCUCUCGCUUCUUGGUUCUUUCACGUGUCUGUCUUCCUCUCUGUUUCAGCCUUUCCUGACUGACUCCCUCCCUGCCCUUCUAGCUGCCUGGCCUGUAUCCCAUCCCGUCUGUCCGUCUGUUGGGUUCUCCGUUUGCCUGCAGUCAUGCGUGUUCCAGCACUUGGUGAAGUGCGAGGCACGUGUUUAUAGAAGACAGUCCUCUGUCUCCUUUCACCUCUCUUCCGUCACCUGCCUCAUUCUCUCUUGGUCUUUGCUUGACGGCGUUUGUCUUAGAAGUACUGCCUACUUCUCAGAGUCAUUCUUCUUUUUCCUUGCCAGCCUGCUUUCCUGACAUGCUCUGUCUGCUCAGUUCUUGACUCUCCGUCUGUCUGUCCGUCCGUGUGAACAGGUUCCUCUGGAUGUCUUCUCUCUGUUUGUUCUCUCUGUCCUUCGGCCUUUUAUCUGUGCCUGUAUGCUUCUCUGUCUCCAGACGCCUGUCCCUGCCGUCAAGUUCAGUGUGGGCAUCAGUGCUCUCUUCCUGUAUUUCCAGAAAUUAGAAAGGUUGGAAUCCUUGUAACUAAUCCGGGGAGACUGUUUCUUUAUUUAGAAGGGUGCACAGGUGAGAAUGAGGACUAUAUGGACAUGCAGUCACCAAUGUAUACUAGAAGCCGCUGGAACUUCCCAAUGUAAAAUAAAGAACACGGAAAAGCAUUGAGGGAACCCCCAGGCGAGGAGUGAAAUCAUCUAAAGCAAAACCAAGAAAUGUAUCUAAAGCAGUAGUUACAAAGCCUUCAGAUUAUAGAAAGUUAUAAACUAUUUGGCUAGAAAAAGACAGACACUCUUUCAAGGGGAGAGAAGAAGAUCUGGCUCUAUGCAGACAAGCCGACAAGCUUCAUCGUAGACCUUUAUGUGCUGGGCUGAGGAGAUAGUUCAGGGGGAAACUGCUUGUCACACGAGCAUGAGGACAGAGUGCCAUCUCCAGCACCCACUUAAAAGUCAGUGUGUGCCGGGCGGUGGUGGCGCACGCCUUUAAUCCCAGCACUCGGGAGGCAGAGCCAGGCAGAUCUCUGUGAAUUCGAGGCCAGCCUGGGCUACCAAGCGAGUUCCAGGAAAAGGCGCAAAGCUACACAGAGAAACCCUGUCUCGAAAAACAAAAAAGAAAAAAAAAAAGCCAGUGCGUGCGUGCGUGCAUGUGUGUGUACGCAUAAAAUAUCAUGUAUGUGUUAACGGUGUUAGGAAGACAUUCAGGCGUGUGACCCCAAGUGAAAAGCCUGAUCUAGGAACCUAGUGAGAAUUAGUGAGCACAGACCUGUGGGCGUGCUCAGUGGACAUUUGGCAGUCUACAGUUCUCAGUCCAAGGACAGAAUAAAGAGAUCCUCAAUUAUCUUUUGAAAUAAAUGUUAGAGAUAAAAGUGAAAGAGAGGUAGAUGCUCAGGAUAUCCUAGACUUAACCAUGGAAUUUUAGUGAUGAGAAGUCAUCCAAGUCAUUGGUCCCUAAAUUGUACUGUCCUGGAAAAGUCUAGCCUUACUCUGAGAUUUUAUAAAUAUAUAUAUAUAUAUAUAUAUAUAUAUAUAUAUAUACACACACACAUAUAUAUACACACACAUAUAUAUACACACACAUAUAUAUACACACACAUAUAUAUACACACACAUAUAUAUACACACAUAUAUAUAAUCAGAUAUAAUGUAUUUAUACAUAUAUCAGGCUGGCUUCACAAAGAUCUUCCUACCUCUGAGUCCUGAGUGCUGGGAUUAAUGGUGUGUGUUACCAUACCUGGCCUAAUUUAGUCAUUCAUAUGUAAUAUGAAGCACAGAAAAAUCACACAAAUUUUCACAAACGCAACCAAAAGUUGAACAUCAUUGUGUGUCUGUCGUAGCUGAUGAGAACGUUGCAUAGAAACUAAGUUUCUCCUGUUCCUUUACUCUUCUAAGUGAUGUACUUGAUCCAUGUAUGUGUACACGAGGACAUGAGCUCCAUCUCCAGAACCCACCUAAAAAGCCGGCAUUGGUGUGCAGCUAGCUAGCUUAGUCUCAUUAGCACGUCCCAGGUCCUAGUGAGAAACCCUACCUCAAAACACAAGGUGGACAGAAAACCUCAACCUCUGGCCUCCACGUGCACCAGAACACAUGUGCGUGCAUAAUUUCACACAACACACACAUGCAAUAGUCAUAAUAAUUCUUUACUUAAACCAGUAAAUAAUAAUAUUAAAAUGAACAUUUAUCCAUCAUUCAACAUAUUAAAUAUAAUAUCACUGGUAUCGUUAAAACCUCAUGUAGGAGUUGGAGAAAUAGCUUGGCAGUGAAGACCACUUACUGCUCGCGUAAAGGACCUGGAUUCAUUUUUCAGGACGUAUGUGGCAGCUCAUAGCUAUCUAUAGUUCAGGUCUAGCAAUCCAAUGCCCUCUUCUUACCUCCCUGGUCUCCUGCAUAGAAGUGCUCAUACAUGCAUGCAGACACACAAACAUACACAUAAAUAAAAAAAUAAGUAAGUAAAAUAGGAAAACCUCAUGUGGUACUUAACUGUUUCUACACAUUCCCAUCCUUCACCACCACCCAAAUUUUGGGCUUAAAAUUUGCUUGUUUUGCCGGGUGGUGGUGGUGCAUGCCUUUAAUCCCAGCACUUGGGAGGCAGAGGCAGGCAGAUCUCUUGUGAGUUCGAGGCCAGCCUGGGCUACAGAGUGAGUUCCAGGACAGGCUCCAAAGCUACACAGAGAAACCCUGUCUUGAAACCCCCCCCCCAAAAAAAAAAUUGCUUGUUUUUGGGCUAGAGGAGAUGGUUCAGUGGUUAAGAGCACUGACUGUACUUCCAGAGGCCCUGGGUUUGAUUCCCAGCACCACAUGGUAACUCACAACCAUCUGUAACUCCAGUUUGAGGGGACCCAGCACCCUCUUCUGGUCUUUGUGGAUACCAGGCAUACAUGUGGUACACAGACAAUACAUUCAGGCAAAACACCGUACACAUAAAAUAAUUUUAUAAAAUCAUUUUUUAAAUUAAAAACAAUUUUUCUUUUCCUUCACAUCUGUAACUUUAAAAAAAAUUUAUUUAUUUAUUUGGUGUGCAUGUGUGUGUGUGCGUGUGCAUGUGUGUGUGCACGCGCACGUGCACACGUACGUGCACACCUCAAGCUCUAGCACAUAUGUGGAAGCCAGAAGACCUCUUCAGAAUUCACUUCUUUUCUUCCACCAUGAGUGGUCCUGAGAUUGAACUUAGUUCAUUAGGCUUGGUAGUAAGCCCCUCUAACCACUGAACCAUCCCAUAGUCCAUUGUAACUUCUUACUUUUUAAAACUUUCUAAUCUAUAGAAAAACCUGAAAGAAUCCAGUUCUCCUCACAUAGACUCAACUGAUUGUUAAUAUUCUGUACAUUGGCAGUGAGUGUGCCGGCUGAUUUUAUGCCACCUUGACACAGGCUGGAGUCAUUUGGGAAAAGCAAAUCUCAGCUAAGAAAAUGCCCCCAGCAGACUGGCCUAUGGGCAAGGCUGUGGUGCAUUUUCUCAAUUAAUGAUUGAUGUGUGGGCCCAGCUCACAGUGGGCAGGGCCACCCCGCACUGGCAGUCCUGGAUACUGUAAGAAAGCAGGCUGAGUGAGGAAGGAGUAAGCCAGUAAGAGCCAUGGCCUUUGUGCCAGCUCCUGCCUCAAAGAAAGUCCCUGCCCUGCUCGAGUUCCUGUCCUAACUUCCCUCAGUGAUGGACUAUGAUGUGGAACUGUAAGCCGAAAUAAAUUUCCCUUGCAAGUUCUCAAGGUAUUUUUAUCUCAGCAGUGGAAAGUGGUGUGGAAACCCUAACUAAGACAAUGGACAGAUUCUUGUGAUCCAGUCUUAAGUGAAUAAAUAUUAAAUUGUGCGUGUAGUAUAAUUCCAACCAUGCAGUGAAAUAUUGCAAGGGGGAUAAGUAAAGGGUUCAUAAUGAUUUUCAUAGAAAUAAGCAUUAUUUUGUUUUCUAUAUAUUUAUACUUCUCUCCCUAGAAUUUUCUCUGUAGUACAUAUUCUAUGAUGGAAAAAUAAAACUAAGUUGAGAGAGAGAGA